CAGGGAGACAACAAAAUGUUUAAUAUUAUUAUUUUGUCACCUUAGGUCGAUCGGUAUCUCACGUUCUUAAUUUAUUAAGAAUUUCAUUUCCUAAGUUUUUCUAGGUCACACCCAUUAUUUUUCCUGGGCCAUUAGCUCAGGUGGUUAGAGCGCACCCCUGAUAAGGGUGAGGUCCCUGGUUCAAGUCCAGGAUGGCCCAUAUCUCUAUGUUGGGGGUAUAGCUCAGUUGGUAGAGCGCCUGCUUUGCAAGCAGGAUGUCAGCGGUUCGAGUCCGCUUACCUCCACUGAUCACCACCUCUUCCAUAAUCGGUAGAAAGGAAAUUUUUUGAGUUGUGAUCAAAUUCUGAAAGAAUCUAGCUUCCUAAUGAAAUUAUUAAGAUGCUGGACUCAUUGAAUUAAUUUCAUUGUUUUCAGAGAACCUUGACAACUGUAUAGAUUAUUUUUAAAGACAAUAAGCAUCUUUAAUGAUGCAGAUUUAUUAUUUGUGCAAAUGCAUUAAUAACAAUUCUAUUAAGCUGAUGCUUCAAUAUUUGAAGUUAUU
This 541-nucleotide transfer RNA is filed under the name uncultured Prochlorococcus sp. Its description in RNAcentral is "partial 16S-23S ribosomal RNA intergenic spacer". The stretch from base 212 to 284 matches the Rfam family "tRNA". The record is from RNAcentral. Lineage: Bacteria; Bacillati; Cyanobacteriota; Cyanophyceae; Synechococcales; Prochlorococcaceae.